AAAUGUACAUUUCCACUCUCAUCAUUAAAGGUGGUGUAUUAUUUUGGCAAGUUUCAAGGCUUUUUCCAAGAUAACAGUGAUAUUGGGAGAGGUAAGAAAAUUGGGUACAGAAGCAGUAAGUUGCAGAGUUAGUUGGUGGCAGAUCCCAGAGACAAGGAAGGAUCUCUUUGAGGAUCAAGGAAGUUAAUUACAAGAAAUAGAACAGUGUCUGGC
Non-coding RNA from Microcebus murinus (gray mouse lemur), 213 nucleotides. The record is from RefSeq and is a predicted model, not a curated record. NCBI's taxonomy places the organism in Eukaryota, Metazoa, Chordata, Mammalia, Primates, Cheirogaleidae.